AAGCGGAGGAAAAGAAACUAACAAGGAUUCCCCUAGUAACGGCGAGUGAAGCGGGAACAGCUCAAAUUUUAAAUCUGGCUGCUUCGCAGUCCGAGUUGUAAUUUGAAGGCGUCUGUCGCAUGUGAGACGAUGGCACAAGUCCUCUGGAACGUGGCAUCGUAGAGGGUGAGAAUCCCGUCUCUGGUCGUUGUCUUGCAGGCACACAACAGGCGAUCCGAAGAGUCGAGUUGUUUGGGAUUGCAGCUCCAAAUGGGUGGUAAACUCCAUCUAAGGCUAAAUAUUGGCGAGAGACCGAUAGCGAACAAGUACCGUGAGGGAAAGAUGAAAAGAACUUUGAAAAGAGAGUAAAACAGUACGUGAAAUUGUUGAAAGGGAAACGCUUGAAGUCAGUCGUGCCGGCGGGGAUUCAGCGAACUUCGCGGAGUGAGCGUAUUUCCUCGCAUGGCAGGUCAGCGUCAGUUUUGCGCGUCGUGAAAGGGCUCGGGUAAGGUGACUCUCUUCGGGGAGUGUUAUAGACCUGAGCAGAUGCGAUGCGCGGGACUGAGGAUUGCAGCGGACACCCUUCGGGGCGCGGCGACCGAUCCCUGCUCUGUCACCUUCGUCCGAUAGCGUGCUAACGGUCGGGGGAGCGGCGGUUGCACCGGGUUGGCAAGCCGGCGGCUUCGCUAAGGAUGCUGGCGUAAUGGCUUUAAACGACCCGUCUUG
RNAcentral lists this ribosomal RNA (705 nucleotides) under Glomeromycotina sp. OTU14 DJMC-2012. RNAcentral describes it as "eukaryotic LSU rRNA". It matches the Rfam family "Eukaryotic large subunit ribosomal RNA", at positions 48 to 656 of the family's 3401-position model. The record is from RNAcentral. Lineage: Eukaryota; Fungi; Glomeromycota.